Molecule: transfer RNA, 74 nt
Filed under: Ailuropoda melanoleuca (giant panda)
Lineage: Eukaryota; Metazoa; Chordata; Mammalia; Carnivora; Ursidae
Rfam family: tRNA
About the family: Transfer RNA (tRNA) molecules are approximately 80 nucleotides in length. Their secondary structure includes four short double-helical elements and three loops (D, anti-codon, and T loops).
Source: Rfam by way of RNAcentral
GCCUGGCUGGCUCAGUCUGUAGAGCAUGGGACUCUUGAUCUCAGGGUCGUUGAGUUCAAGCCUUUUGUUGGGCA